GAGGUCAUUAAAGUGUGAAAUAUAAAGCUGAAUACAAAUAUACUACAUCAUCGCCGCCCCUGUCGUCAGAUUAUCAGCCCUGUGAGAGAAAAAAAAACAACAAUUUAUGUGGUAUUUCCAAAAUCGCAUAAUGAAGAGAACUUUUACUUUCGGUGAUCUUCUUAAAUGAUCUAUUAUAUUACUUUUGUAACAUUUGUCUGGUAGAAACAAUGUCAGUGUUGGUUAUAAAUGUUUACAUAUAGACACAUUCGUCCGUAAGUGUAAGUGUGUAACACUCAUCUACGUCAUAUUGAGGAAUUCCGGGGUUUCCC
This 311-nucleotide long non-coding RNA is filed under the name Mytilus galloprovincialis (Mediterranean mussel). The record is from RNAcentral. Lineage: Eukaryota; Metazoa; Mollusca; Bivalvia; Mytilida; Mytilidae.